RNAcentral lists this ribosomal RNA (481 nucleotides) under uncultured bacterium. RNAcentral's name for it is "partial 16S ribosomal RNA". It matches the Rfam family "Bacterial small subunit ribosomal RNA", at positions 28 to 507 of the family's 1533-position model. The record is from RNAcentral.
GACGAACGUUGGCGGCGUGCUUAAUACAUGCAAGUCAACUGAAGCAGUGGUAGCAAUAUCGCUGUGGAGGUGGCGCACGGGUGAGUAACACGUAGGUAAUCUGCCUUCAGGUCUGGCAUAACUCCGGGAAACCGGGGCUAAUAGCAGAUGAUGCAGCGGCUCGACAUCGAGACAGUUGUUAAAGCUAUGGCGCCUGAAGAUGAGCCUGCGUCUGAUUAGCUAGUUGGCGGGGUAACGGCCCACCAAGGCAACGAUCAGUAGCUGGUCUGAGAGGAUGAUCAGCCACACUGGAACUGAGACACGGUCCAGACUCCUACGGGAGGCAGCAGUAAGGAAUAUUGCUCAAUGGGAGAAAUCCUGAAGCAGCAACGCCGCGUGAGGGACGAAGGGCUUUUGCUUGUAAACCUCUGUAGUGAGAGAAAAAAAUCCCAAUCUUUGGGACAUGAUGGUAUCUCAAGAGUAAGCCCCGGCUAACUACGUG